Molecule: unclassified non-coding RNA, 432 nt
Filed under: soil metagenome
Description: partial contains 5.8S ribosomal RNA, internal transcribed spacer 2, and large subunit ribosomal RNA
Rfam family: 5.8S ribosomal RNA (bases 1-120)
Source: RNAcentral
GAUGAAGAACGCAGCGAAAUGCGAUACGUAAUGUGAAUUGCAGAAUUCAGUGAAUCAUCGAAUCUUUGAACGCAUAUUGCGCUCUCUGGUAUUCCGGAGAGCAUGCUUGUUUGAGUAUCAGUAAACACCUCAACUUCCAUAUCUUUUUUGAAAUGGGAGUUGGACUUGAGUGAUCCCAACGCUUUUCCUCACCGAAAAGUGGCGGGUUACUUGAAAUGCAGGUGCAGCUGGACUUUUCUCUGAGCUAUAAGCAUAUCUAUUUAGUCUGCCUAAAAAACAGAUUAUUACCUUUGCUGCAGCUAACAUAAAGGAGAUUAGUUCUUGUGCUGACUGAUGCAGGAUUCACAAAGACAGCUUCGGCCGACUUUGUAAACCCGAUCUCAAAUCAAGUAAGACUACCCGCUGAACUUAAGCAUAUCAAUAAGCGGAGGA